CAGGGAGGCCUCGAAGACCUGAAGGGGAGGAGGAAGGAGCCAGGCAGCCAUGCAGGGAACAGCUCCAGGCAGCAGGAAGAGCCCAUGCAAAGGCCCUGAGAAGACACAUGCUGCGUGUGUCCAAGGGUCAGAGAGUGGCCUGCGUGGCUGAUGCCAGGUGAGAGGGGGACCGCAGGGGCAGGGCAGGGCGCUGGGGGUGCAGAUCAUGUCUGCCCUGGGGCCAUCAGAAGCUUGUGGCUGUCACUGGAGGUAGCUGAGCCUGUGGGUUCUGAGCCUGCGGAUUCUGAGCCGGAGGCACUGGGGUGAGGCUUUGGGUUUCAAUGGCAGCAUCAGGAUGGUUUCAGGGGAUGAGGGCAGAGCGGGAGGCGGCAGGUGGCCUGGGUGGGGAUGGCCCAUGUAGCUGGGGUCUGGAUUUGGGCCAGGAUUGGAUGUGGGGUGUGGGGGUUUCAAGGGUGACCUGAAGCUUGGUGACCUGGGGGGACGGCUGAGAUGAGGCUGGAUUGAGACGUCUGUAUGGUGCCGAGUGUUGGCUGGUGGGGGGUGGAUUCUGAAGGCAAGGGCUUCUCCGGCCUCAGGGGAGUGGGUGCCUUGGCGAGAGCCCAAAGGUGGGGGACGUGGCUGACGCCGGGCAAAGCUUUGGGGGCACCGGGCUGGGGUGGUGGUGAGGACCUGUGGGCAGGUGUGUGUGCAGCCAGCCACAGCCUCCGCACAAGUGAGGGGAAGGGGUGGCCAGAAGCCCCUGCAACUUGGCCUGAGCGUCCUGGGCAGCUGGGGGGCCCCCCAGCAUCAGUGUGGGGGCAAACAAGGCCACAUCCGCCACCAGCUUCACCCCAGCUUCUACGGAAAAGAGGCGCAGGGUAGAGGCUCACCACGUGGCUCCGACCCUGUUCCCUUUUCACUUAACGCCAGCGGCCUCCUCUGGAAUCCAAGCCCCUUAGGGAGGCGUUAGGUGUGGAGGGCCUGCAGGGCCUGCAGGAGCUGUCAAGGGAGGACUCUGCUGCCUCCUCCAGGCCCGGGAGGACCUUUCUAGGGAGGCACACACCUGGAAUCCAGGUACUAUAUUUCGUGGAAUAUACGGUACCCGGGAUUUCGUGUGCUGCUGAGAAGGAAGGCGAUGCUGAUGUUAAUGAAACUGGAAUGCGGCCCGGCUGGCAGGAAACGGGGUGCCUGCCCAGGCCUCGGGAACCAUCGCUACCCCAGCCCCGCCCACCGGCCCCAGGCAGAGGCUCACGCGCUCCCGGCUUCGCUGCAUUUAUUGCAGGUGGGUGCACCUGGCGGGAGGGCAGGUCCGGGGCGAGG
This 1299-nucleotide long non-coding RNA is filed under the name Homo sapiens (human). Its description in RNAcentral is "HSALNT0235305". Lineage: Eukaryota; Metazoa; Chordata; Mammalia; Primates; Hominidae. The record is from RNAcentral.